UCGUUUUGGACAAUCGGUCGAGACAUUUGACUGAACUAGUUUCAUUUUUUUUAAAUAAAAAGUAAAUAUUUUUUCCCCUUAAGUAUAUUUCAAAACAACCUUUCCACCUUAAACUGAUGGUAAACAAACAAAUGCUAGCUCGUGUAGACAGGAAGCUAAAAGAGGGACGGACUCUUCAAGAGAUGAAAAGAAAAACGAAUCAACAGGAUGAAUGAAUCAAAAAGUGAGAAGAUGAAACAGGGAGAGAAAAAAACAGAACAAUGAGGCAGACAGGAAGCCCACAUCUGCUCCUCCGUCGUUUCAUGCUAAAAGUGCAUUGCAUCUAAUAAUGGCCCUCAAAAGGACACUCCAGAGCCCCAAUUAUCACGGGUUGCCUGGCAACAAAGAGAAACCGCCACCGGACGAUGGCGAGUACAAACAGUUCCAUUCUGACUGUUACAGAGUGCAGAGGUGUGCCUGCUCCUGUUGAUUCACCGACUGCUGGGACACAAUAAGAUGAUCACAACGACAGAUGUGAGCGAGCAGGAGCUGAUGAUGAUGAUGAUGAUGAUGAUGAUGAUGAUGAGCAAGACAAUCAGAUCAAACACAACAAGCACCUCCACCCACUCCAGCAGACCUCCACGCUGAACGGAAACACCAGCCAGGGGAAAAACUGACUAUUUCUGAGCUUGUAAUGCAGACAUCACGGAGGAGCUGGACUGAGUCGUGAAAAUCCACCUUCAUCUCAGAGGAAACCACCUCUGGCAAAGGAGCCUCACAGGAGCAGGCUGAACGCUCUGCAGUUACAGCCGCACACAGCUUUGAAAGAAGAAUGUUUUCUUUUUUAGUGCCGUGACCAUGAAAUGAAAGAAGAAACAGGCGUGUCGCUCUACCUGAGCGUUCUGCACCUGGUGGAACUUUAGGAACAUCGACUAGAACAAACUGAAGUGAAGAUGGUACAGCAUGUGAACAGGAGCAGCUGGUCCAUCAUCUGAAUACUGUUACAUAAAUUAAAAUAAAAUUCACCUGCUGAGUCACGAA
Molecule: long non-coding RNA, 1020 nt
Organism: Oryzias melastigma (Indian medaka)
Lineage: Eukaryota; Metazoa; Chordata; Actinopteri; Beloniformes; Adrianichthyidae
Exons: 2
Source: RefSeq, a predicted model, not a curated record